This 403-nucleotide ribosomal RNA is filed under the name bacterium. RNAcentral describes it as "partial 16S ribosomal RNA". It matches the Rfam family "Bacterial small subunit ribosomal RNA", at positions 355 to 776 of the family's 1533-position model. RNAcentral also lists the same sequence under 1 other name. The record is from RNAcentral.
UGGGGAAUAUUGCACAAUGGAGGGAACUCUGAUGCAGCGACGCCGCGUGAACGAAGAAGGCUUUCGAGUCGUAAGGUUCUUUUAUAUGGGAAGAUAAUGACGGUACCAUAAGAAAAAGCCCCGGCUAACUACGUGCCAGCAGCCGCGGUAAUACGUAGGGGGCUAGCGUUGUCCGGAAUCACUGGGCGUAAAGGGUUCGCAGGCGGAAAUGCAAGUCAGGUGUAAAAGGCAGUAGCUUAACUACUGUAAGCAUUUGAAACUGCAUAUCUUGAGAAGAGUAGAGGUAAGUGGAAUUUUUAGUGUAGCGGUGAAAUGCGUAGAUAUUAAAAAGAAUACCGGUGGCGAAGGCGACUUACUGGGCUCAUUCUGACGCUGAGGAACGAAAGCGUGGGUAGCAAACAGG